GGAAUUCGGACCCUUUGUUGGAGGAGAAUAUCCGAAAGUUGAUAGAGGAGGUGGCUCAGCUGAGGGCAGAGAUCAGCAGUGCAAAGAAGCUUUCCCGAGAUAACCAGGCAGCGUCCAAGACGGCAUCUGACGUGUCUAUCUCAGACUGGGCCCUGAAAAGCUCUGGUGCCACCAUUGACAGUGCGGAGAACUUCCAAGACCUACACCUGCAAAGAGAAUUGGGGCUACAGGGUUCUGCAGUUCUUUCCUGCCAACAACCCUUCUGAUACUAUUUUGCAGCCAGAUGUUUCUCCGGGAAACUGCUGGCCUUUACAAGGGCAUCAGGGCCAGGUGGUCAUCAGGUUUCCAGCACGAGUCCAUCUGACUGCCGUCAGCGUGCAGCACAUCUACAAAGAAGCUUCUCCGCCUGGGACCGUCACCAGCGCCCCCAGAGACGUCGCUGUCUUCGGAGUGGAUGCGGACGGAGAAGAGGAAACUCUGCUUGGGACGUUCACGUACAACGUGGAGAAAGAGGCCAUUCAGACCUUCCCUCUGAAGAAGGCACCGUUUCCCAGAGCCUUUUCAUAUAUCAAGCUUCUUGUGGAGAGCAACUGGGGAAACCCAGCGUACACCUGUAUUUACCGAGUGGAGGUUCACGGGAUGAUGGAACAACCGGAAAGCCUCAACUGAAACCAGAGAAGGACAAAAAUAAAAAAGAAGAAAAGCAGAGGGGAAUAAAGAAAUGAUGUGGCAGUU
Long non-coding RNA from Tyto alba (common barn owl), 735 nucleotides. RefSeq lists it as uncharacterized. The transcript is spliced from 6 exons. The record is from RefSeq and is a predicted model, not a curated record. Lineage: Eukaryota; Metazoa; Chordata; Aves; Strigiformes; Tytonidae.